Non-coding RNA from Pongo abelii (Sumatran orangutan), 83 nucleotides. NCBI's taxonomy places the organism in Eukaryota, Metazoa, Chordata, Mammalia, Primates, Hominidae. The record is from Rfam.
CCUCAUAGCAGUGUUCUGGAAACCUACGUGAGGGACAAACAUUCAGACCACAGCAGGUGUGUUCUGGAAUCCUAUGUGAGGGA